GUGAGGUAGAAGUCUAAAGUGUGCUCAUCUAGGAACCAUUGACCAUGAAUGAGGAAAUCUAAAAGGAGAAGUGGCUUGGGGGUAGGGCUAAAAACCUUACUUUAUGGCAAGAGAAGAAUCCGUUAUUUCAGGCACGGGGAGCAACACGACAAAUGUGCAGAGCAAGCACCUUGUGAAAUGAGCUCACAGCACUGGCUACAGCAUGAAGUUCGUGAGGAGUGGUAAGAGAAAAUAGAAAAGUUGGAAAUGAAGACUGGGGUCUGAUUGUGGGUAGUUGUGGGCAAGAGGUUCUUUGCUGUAUUUAUUAGGCAGGGUCGUGAUAUGAUCAGAGAGCUGCUUCUGCAAGAGUGAUCAGGACAUGACUAGAUCAUAAGUCCCAAUUAUAUAUGAAUUUUUUGGUCAGUUCUUCCACGUGUUAGCUUUUUCACAUUCCAGUUCUUGUGUAAUCCCCUUUCGUUGAGUGUAGGC
This is a long non-coding RNA of Orcinus orca (killer whale), 468 nucleotides long. RefSeq lists it as uncharacterized. The transcript has 3 exons. The record is from RefSeq and is a predicted model, not a curated record. Lineage: Eukaryota; Metazoa; Chordata; Mammalia; Artiodactyla; Delphinidae.